This 420-nucleotide ribosomal RNA is filed under the name uncultured bacterium. Its description in RNAcentral is "bacterial SSU rRNA". It matches the Rfam family "Bacterial small subunit ribosomal RNA", at positions 360 to 773 of the family's 1533-position model. The record is from RNAcentral.
AAUCUUGCGCAAUGGGCGAAAGCCUGACGCAGCGAUGCCGCGUGAGGGAAGAAGGCCUUCGGGUUGUAAACCUCUUUCAGGAGGGACGAAGCCACUCGGGUUAAUAGCCCAGAGGGUGACGGUACCUCCAGAAGAAGCCCCAGCUAACUACGUGCCAGCAGCCGCGGUAAUACGUAGGGGGCAAGCGUUGUCCGGAUUCAUUGGGCGUAAAGAGCGUGUAGGCGGCCAGAUAGGUCAGCUGUGAAAACUCGGGGCUCAACCCCGAGACGUCGGUUGAAACCAUCUGGCUAGAGUCCGGAAGAGGAGUGUGGAAUUCCCGGUGUAGCGGUGAAAUGCGCAGAUAUCGGGAAGAACACCCGUGGCGAAGGCGGCACUCUGGGACGGUACUGACGCUGAGACGCGAAAGCGUGGGGAGCGAAC